Molecule: ribosomal RNA, 1398 nt
Filed under: uncultured bacterium
Lineage: Bacteria
Description: bacterial SSU rRNA
Rfam family: Bacterial small subunit ribosomal RNA
Source: RNAcentral
AGAGUUUGAUCCUGGCUCAGAUUGAACGCUGGCGGCAGGCUUAACACAUGCAAGUCGAGCGGUAACAGGGGGUGCUUGCACCCCGCUGACGAGCGGCGGACGGGUGAGUAAUGCUUAGGAAUCUGCCCAGUAGUGGGGGAUAGCCCGGGGAAACCCGGAUUAAUACCGCAUACGUCCUACGGGAGAAAGCAGGGGAUCUUCGGACCUUGCGCUACUGGAUGAGCCUAAGUCGGAUUAGCUAGUUGGUGGGGUAAAGGCCUACCAAGGCGACGAUCCGUAGCUGGUCUGAGAGGAUGAUCAGCCACAUCGGGACUGAGACACGGCCCGAACUCCUACGGGAGGCAGCAGUGGGGAAUAUUGGACAAUGGGGGCAACCCUGAUCCAGCCAUGCCGCGUGUGUGAAGAAGGCUUUCGGGUUGUAAAGCACUUUCAGCGAGGAGGAAGGCUCUGAAGUUAAUACCUUCAGGGAUUGACGUUACUCGCAGAAGAAGCACCGGCUAACUCCGUGCCAGCAGCCGCGGUAAUACGGAGGGUGCAAGCGUUAAUCGGAAUUACUGGGCGUAAAGCGCGCGUAGGUGGUUAGGUAAGCGAGAUGUGAAAGCCCCGGGCUUAACCUGGGAACGGCAUUUCGAACUGUCUGACUAGAGUGUGGUAGAGGGUAGUGGAAUUUCCUGUGUAGCGGUGAAAUGCGUAGAUAUAGGAAGGAACACCAGUGGCGAAGGCGGCUACCUGGACCAACACUGACACUGAGGUGCGAAAGCGUGGGGAGCAAACAGGAUUAGAUGCCCUGGUAGUCCACGCCGUAAACGAUGUCAACUAGCCGUUGGGACUCUUGAAGUCUUAGUGGCGCAGCUAACGCACUAAGUUGACCGCCUGGGGAGUACGGCCGCAAGGUUAAAACUCAAAUGAAUUGACGGGGGCCCGCACAAGCGGUGGAGCAUGUGGUUUAAUUCGACGCAACGCGAAGAACCUUACCUGGCCUUGACAUCCAGAGAACUUUCCAGAGAUGGAUUGGUGCCUUCGGGAACUCUGAGACAGGUGCUGCAUGGCCGUCGUCAGCUCGUGUCGUGAGAUGUUGGGUUAAGUCCCGUAACGAGCGCAACCCCUAUCCCUGGUUGCUAGCAGGUAAUGCUGAGAACUCCAGGGAGACUGCCGGUGACAAACCGGAGGAAGGUGGGGAUGACGUCAGGUCAUCAUGGCCCUUACGGCCAGGGCUACACACGUGCUACAAUGGCGCGUACAGAGGGCUGCCAACUCGCGAGAGUGCGCCAAUCCCUUAAAACGCGUCGUAGUCCGGAUCGGAGUCCGCAACUCGACUCCGUGAAGUCGGAAUCGCUAGUAAUCGCGAAUCAGAAUGUCGCGGUGAAUACGUUCCCGGGCCUGUACUCAAAGCCCGUC